RNAcentral lists this ribosomal RNA (301 nucleotides) under uncultured bacterium. RNAcentral describes it as "partial 16S ribosomal RNA". It matches the Rfam family "Bacterial small subunit ribosomal RNA", at positions 509 to 807 of the family's 1533-position model. The record is from RNAcentral.
CAGUCGCCGCGGGAAUACGUAGGUGGCAAGCGUUGUCCGGAAUUAUUGGGCGUAAAGGGCUCGCAGGCGGUUUCUUAAGUCUGAUGUGAAAGCCCCCGGCUCAACCGGGGAGGGUCAUUGGAAACUGGGAAACUUGAGUGCAGAAGAGGAGAGUGGAAUUCCACGUGUAGCAGUGAAAUGCGUAGAGAUGUGGAGGAACACCAGUGGCGAAGGCGACUCUCUGGUCUGUAACUGACGCUGAGGAGCGAAAGCGUGGGGAGCGAACAGGAUUAGAUACCCGCGUAGUCCCUGUCUCUUAUAC